This 328-nucleotide ribosomal RNA is filed under the name uncultured eukaryote. RNAcentral's name for it is "partial 18S ribosomal RNA". It matches the Rfam family "Eukaryotic small subunit ribosomal RNA", at positions 1470 to 1796 of the family's 1831-position model. The record is from RNAcentral.
CCCUUAGAUGUCCUGGGCCGCACGCGCGUUACACUGAUGCAUUCAACGAGCUUAUAACCUUGGCCGAGAGGCCUGGGCAAUCUUGUUAACGUGCAUCGUGAUAGGGAUAGAUUAUUGAAAUUAUUAAUCUUGAACGAGGAAUUCCUAGUAAACGCAGAUCAUCAAUCUGCAUUGAUUACGUCCCUGCCCUUUGUACACACCGCCCGUCGCACCUACCGAUUGGAUGGUCCGGUGAAGCCUCGGGAUUGUGGUUCUUGCCGCUUUAUUGUGGCGUGACCGCGAGAACUUGUCUAAACCUUAUCAUCUAGAGGAACGUGAAGUCGUAACA